This is a long non-coding RNA of Branchiostoma floridae (Florida lancelet), 1695 nucleotides long. RefSeq lists it as uncharacterized. Lineage: Eukaryota; Metazoa; Chordata; Leptocardii; Amphioxiformes; Branchiostomatidae. The record is from RefSeq and is a predicted model, not a curated record. The transcript has 4 exons.
CAGAGAACAUUUGAUAGUGUUAACGUUAUAGACUGAAGUGAGAGAUAGACGAACUUAUAAUGUGAAACGUUACCGAGUUAUCUGUUGACGGUCCCAUAUGGGGGAAGGGGUAUUCAAGUUCCCUUGUAGUCGUUCGGUACACGUAAAAUGUUAGAACACGUUUUGCGUAGAACGUCAAGAUUCUUUGGCGUGACGUUAUGUUUAUGUGAUGUUCGAAUGUUCUAAGAUCGGUUCGUUAUUUAUUCUACGUCCCUUCUUGAUUUUUGAACGUGAUUUUGACGAAUCUGUCUUGGUUUUGUCCUGCAAAUUUUGCUCUCAUUUCCUUCUCGUCAACUUGAGACUGCACUUCUGAUAGUAGAAAUGAUCUGUUCCUUUCUGUAACUUCUCAACUUGCCUGAUUUUACUUCAACCGUUUAAAGUUUACAAAAGAUCCUGAAAAGGCACCUUGAUGAAACUUCCAGGUUUCAGCUAAGAAGAUGGUCCUUGGGUGCCCUUAUGUAUCAUACAAUUGAGACUUCAGACUUUCACAGAAUGUUCAUGGUCCCUGAGUGAAGAUGUUCCCAGAGUAUCUGCAAUAUGACAAAUAUGAAAUAUGAAAUCUCAACUGAAUUGAAGUGGAUGUACAGAGAGGAGUAAUACUGAAAUGUGCACAGAGGCAUUCUCUCCACUUUGAAGCUUCUGCCAUUGAGUAUAACAGCUGCUGGUCAAGGUGUGGAUUUGUGACAACAACACUCACACCCGGUGUACCCCACAGAAGGAUAUUUGGACCACUUAGGACUGAAGAUGCCCAUGUGGCAUUUUGGGCAGCACCAUACAUUGAGCUGUCUGGGACAUCACAGGUAUCUCUAGUAUGCCAUGGCACUUAAACACAGCACUGAUACAGUUACAGUAGCACAGUGUCAUCAAUCACACGUAUACGUCCUUAUGCACUGGUUCUUACAUUAAGUAUAUAUAGUCCGUGUGAAGAUGUUGUGAAAUGAUUGACACUUUUGGAUUCCCGCUUGAAAUGUGGAGACUCUUAAUUCCUUGGAAAAAACCUCAAAUGGGAGGUUCUUGAUAAGAAAGCAGAAGAGAUUGUCUAUCAUAUCAAAUUUUGUACAGAUUCUUUUAGUUAUAGUAACAAGUAGAUGUCUGUAAAAUGUAAUCUGCUUCAGUCUGUCGAGUUACAAACCUAUGCAAUACAUGUAUAACAAAGUGUUAAGUCUUAUAUGUUUUCCUGAUUAAGUUUCAACUGCUCAGCCAGAACCAGAUGGACUAGGUGUUUUGUUUUGUUUUCAACAAAACUGGAGAUUUUAUGAAUCAGUUAGCUAAAUCAGGGCUCGAAAUACUUUUUCUGCAUACCUGCACUGGUGCAGGUAUCAUUGAAAAGACAAAUUUUACCUGAACUACUCUGAAUUUAAGAAGUAUGGAUCAUACUAAAAGUAUUGAGGAACCAUUGCUAUGUUUUCUUUUAUACCUAAUGGUAACAGUCAAUGCAGCUAAUUCACAUGCACCUACUAAGUACAUCAUAGUACAUUUAUGUACAAAACCCAGUACAUGGACCAGUGCAGGUUAGGUGCAGGUAGACAUCAGAAAUACCUGCACAGCUCCAAUUCUACCUGCACUAACCUGCAUAUGCAGGUGGUAUUUUGAGCCCAGUAAAUGCAUUAUCAAACAUGAAUAUGAAUUAUGUAAUAUGACAUUAUUUUACUUUUC